UACGAAGGGGGCUAGCGUUGCUCGGAAUUACUGGGCGUAAAGCGCACGUAGGCGGAUCAUUAAGUCGGGUGUGAAAGCCCUGGGCUCAACCCAGGAAGUGCACUCGAAACUGUCAGGCUUGAAUAUGGAAGAGGGUCGCGGAAUUCCCGGUGUAGAGGUGAAAUUCGUAGAUAUCGGGAGGAACACCAGUGGCGAAGGCGGCGACCUGGGCCAAUAUUGACGCUGAGGUGGCGAAAAGCGUGGGGAGCAAACAGGG
This 256-nucleotide ribosomal RNA is filed under the name uncultured bacterium. RNAcentral describes it as "partial 16S ribosomal RNA". It matches the Rfam family "Bacterial small subunit ribosomal RNA", at positions 524 to 777 of the family's 1533-position model. The record is from RNAcentral.